This 86-nucleotide transfer RNA is filed under the name Streptomyces sp. JB150. RNAcentral describes it as "tRNA-Ser". It matches the Rfam family "tRNA". Rfam says of the family: Transfer RNA (tRNA) molecules are approximately 80 nucleotides in length. Their secondary structure includes four short double-helical elements and three loops (D, anti-codon, and T loops). Lineage: Bacteria; Bacillati; Actinomycetota; Actinomycetes; Kitasatosporales; Streptomycetaceae. The record is from RNAcentral.
GGAGGAUUGGCCGAGAGGUAAGGCACCGGCUUGCUAAGCCGCGGUCGGGGGUCACCCCCGCGCACGUUCGAUCCGUGCAUCCUCCG